CCUGCAAAACUGUGGCCUCAGUCAAGUGGUUCGGCUCUUAACCUCUGCGCUCGCUUCAGCAAGGGUAUAUCUGAUAACCUCAGUGCCCACAUGCUGAUAUCGGCAGCUCUUUCUGUGAUCAGUUUCCUUCCUUUCCUUUAAAAAUGGAAACCCUCCUUCCACGUUCAUUACGAAAGGGUUCCGUGAAAGUGUAGGAGCAUCAGAGGGAGAUGCCUGGUGAACCGACAUGACGUGCCUAGCAUUAUCAGCUGUAAACCGGGAUUGAUUCUGACAAGCUCAGGGUGAGUUUGAUUUGUCCAUGCAUUAAUGUAUAUGAUAAUGUAUACAUUGGCAGGUCACCAUUGUUAGCAGAGAUGCUGGGCCACAGACAGAUGGAAUACUCAUGCAGAGGCUGACUUCCAUACUCAGUAAUAACUGAAAAGGAAAAGGAGAAAAAGGAAUCCCAAAUUCUCCACCAACAGUGCUGAUACGUGGGAUCGUCUUGUUUCUGAGACACAGCACCGCUGAUUGCUCACGGCCCCGCGUUUGAAGCUCCGGGAUAGGUGGGGCAGGGGAGGGGAAGCCUGGCCCAGGCCGUGGCUGAAAACAAGAAAGUCAUCAGAGUUCAACCUGCAGCCCGCUUUUGAUGUUCCUCUGACACAAAAAGUGGAAUUGCAGUGGGCGAUUAUGGCCUUUCAUCUUCCAGCCAGGCCGGCGGCCUGAGAGGUGAGGAUGAUGAUGCUGUCUGGUGGCCAGAGCUGAAGCCUUACCUGCUGACAUCCACGGAGCCCUAGCAGCAGAAUUCUGCUGUCAGAGGCACGGCUGUGCUGAAAAUAAGCAACUGGUUUGGAGUCCUGCUGCCUUGGUGAACUCUCUCACGUUUGCUUCGAGACUCCUGCCUCGUGACUCCUGCCUCAAGGCUGCUGCCUCAAGUAUCUUGCCUCAAGACUCCUGCCUUGAGUCUGCUGCCUUGGGACUUCUGCCUCAAGUCUCCUGCCUCCAUCUCCAUUUCUGAUGGCAUCACACAGCAGAUAACUGUAUUUGCAAAUCCUUUGUUGAAAAUGUCAUGGGGCAACAGUUUAUGUAAGGUGUCUUGAAGUGUUACAUUCACCGAUUGCUGUGGCAUAGUCUUCGCUUUGCUCAGUGCUGUUCUUUCUGUAGGCCAUUGUGGUAGGUACUGUAAUGUUUUCAUGAUGAAAAUAGCUCUGUGUGAGAUUUGCCAAUAUUUGUACUCAACGUGUAAUAUUUGUCCUCAGUGUAUAAUGCUUGUGAAUCAGGAAUCUUCUGACAUCUGCUGUAGUUACUCUCUGUUGAGCAUGUGAUAUGUUUACACAUAAUGCAAGCUUACAGCUAGGGUAAGAGUUGUAAUGAAGCAAUAUCUUAGCAGUAUCUUAAAAUUUAAUUUCUAGUUAUUCUGCUUGGGAUGCUCCUAAAAUUGUUUUUCACAUGUCUUUUAUGUGGAGACAUUAGUGCACUGCUCGGUAAAAGUUGUUUCCUUCUGUUUUCCACAGGCAAAUGUCCCUAAUGAUAAACAGAAAGCCAUAAUUUUUGGAGCCCUGUUUCUCAUCAUGCUGAGAUUUUCCAAUCUUCCAAAAUCCCUUGAUCAUUUAAGUCAUUAUGUAUGCUGCACCUAUUUGGAUGGUUUAAGCAUCAGACAGAAGAACCUACUUUGUUCGCACCACCAAAGUAGAGUAAUGUCACAGAAAUGAUUGUCUCGAAUGCCUAAAUCAUUGUUGUCUUUAGUUUUAGUUGUGAAAAAAAUCCUUUUUUUUCUCUUGAAUCAUAGGUCCAAACCAUUAUUUUCAGCAGAGACUUUAUUUUCAGCAGAGACUUUUGCAGUACGAGGCUAAUCCAGCAAACGGCUAUAAUUAGAUAUACACGCUGCAAUUGCAAGGACAUGCUGUGUGGGCUUACAGGCGGCAGAGCAUUUUCUUGUGCGGUCCUGUUUAAGCCAUGGUAUUUGCAUGACGUUUAGUCCAGUGAACGCUGUUUAGAGUGCAUCUCCUGGGGAACAUUCAAGGAGACGAGUGUGGGAAGCCAUGAAUUAGUCUACUACCGUAUGCCUUCUUCUCUCACCGGCAACGGGGGCUGAUGUCGAAGGGAGGAAGGCAACCUCUCGUGACAUUGGUGCCAGGGCAUAGCUGAUGUGUUGAGCUCGUCCUUGUGAAAGCACAUCUUUUAAAGGCAAUAAAAGCAUGAAAAUGAAUCAAA
Electrophorus electricus (electric eel) is the source of this 2190-nucleotide long non-coding RNA. RefSeq lists it as uncharacterized. The record is from RefSeq and is a predicted model, not a curated record. NCBI's taxonomy places the organism in Eukaryota, Metazoa, Chordata, Actinopteri, Gymnotiformes, Gymnotidae.